GAUGAACGCUGGCUGUGUGCUUAAUACAUGCAAGUCGAGCGAACGUACCAGAAGCCUGCUCCUCUGAUGUUAGCGCCCGUCGGGCGAGUAACCUGUGGACACCCUACCUAUAGGACUGGGUUAACUUAGGGAAACCGGAGCUAAUAUCGGACGAUAUUUUCUACCGCAUGGUUCAAACGUGAACGACGGUCUUGCUGUCAAUCAUAGAUGGAUCCGCGCUGCAUUUGCUAGUUGGUAAGUUAACGGCUUACUAAGGCAACGUAGCAUAGUUGACAGGAGAGGAUGAUCAGCCACUCUGGAACGGAGACACGGUCCAGAGUGCUACGGGAGGCAGCAGUAGGGAAUCUUCCGCAAAGGGCGAAGACCUGAGGGAGCAGCGCCGCGGGAGGGAUGAAGGUCUUCGGAUCGGAAAACUCUGUUAUUAGGGAAGGACAUGUGUGUAAGUAACGGUGCACAUCUUGACGGUACCUAAUCAGAAAGCCACGGCUAACUACGUG
RNAcentral lists this ribosomal RNA (497 nucleotides) under uncultured bacterium. RNAcentral's name for it is "partial 16S ribosomal RNA". It matches the Rfam family "Bacterial small subunit ribosomal RNA", at positions 28 to 507 of the family's 1533-position model. The record is from RNAcentral.